CGUUCCCCCGCCGGCACCUGGCGGAGUGUGGAAGCGUCGACGGGCGGAAAGCGAACGUACUCAGGAAUCAUUUGCAGUGUAAGACAAACAGAAUCAAACAAAAGUGGCAGAGCUUUCCCUUAAAUCGUGACCUGUGGCUGAACGGCUGGCCUGGGAUCAGCCCGAAGCUACAACUCAGCGUGGUGCUCUGCUGACAAACACCUGUUCGAUUUAGUAAGGACUAUGGCCCAUGUUUAAGAGUGUAAAAAGGACAGAGCCAUCAAAGCGCAGAGUUUUCUUUUUUUUAAAUCAAAUUUGAGGAAAACUAUGUAAGUAUUAACGGACACAAUGGGAGCUCAAAUCUUCUGCAUUAUUUUGGGGAAUUUUGAAGGUUUUUUGAACUGA
Molecule: long non-coding RNA, 384 nt
Organism: Xiphias gladius (swordfish)
Lineage: Eukaryota; Metazoa; Chordata; Actinopteri; Istiophoriformes; Xiphiidae
Exons: 3
Source: RefSeq, a predicted model, not a curated record